CAGUAGCCGCGGGAAUACGUAGGGGGCAAGCGUUAUCCGGAAUUACUGGGUGUAAAGGGAGCGUAGACGGUUAAACAAGUCUGAAGUGAAAGGCCGGGGCUCAACCCCGGAGCUGCUUUGGGAACUGUAGAACUGGAGUGUCGGAGGGGUAAGCGGAAUUCCCAGUGUAGCGGUGAAAUGCGUAGAUAUUGGGAGGAACACCGGCGGCGAAGGCGGCUUACUGGACGACAACUGACGUUGAGGCUCGAAGGCGUGGGUAGCAAACAGGAUUAGAUACCCCGGUAGUCCCUGUCUCUUAUAC
This 301-nucleotide ribosomal RNA is filed under the name uncultured bacterium. RNAcentral's name for it is "partial 16S ribosomal RNA". It matches the Rfam family "Bacterial small subunit ribosomal RNA", at positions 509 to 807 of the family's 1533-position model. The record is from RNAcentral.